CAUCGCCGAGGUGCUCGAGGCCGCCGCCGAGGCCGCCGCCCCCGUCGAGAACGCCCCGCCCGCCGUGGAGACCAACCAGGUGGAGCCAGAGAUUGUCAAGCAGGUGGAGCUCCCCAAGGUGCACCUGAUCGGCACGGGCAUCGAGGAGUGCGGCCCCGAGCGCGUCCGCAACCAGGAGGGCGUCUGCGUGGACGAGCCAAAGCAGGACUAGGAUGAAGGAGCCGUCUAAGGAAAACUCGCGCGCUGUGAAUACCGUUGCCAUUGCUGUCGUAGAUGCCAGACCUUCGUGUUAUUUAUGUUUUUGUACUAUUUAUUUAUUUAUUGUCCGUGAAAAAUAAAUGUUAUGAAAGUGA
Long non-coding RNA from Thrips palmi, 353 nucleotides. RefSeq lists it as uncharacterized. The record is from RefSeq and is a predicted model, not a curated record. The transcript has 3 exons. NCBI's taxonomy places the organism in Eukaryota, Metazoa, Arthropoda, Insecta, Thysanoptera, Thripidae.